AUAAACCUGAUGAGUUGCUGCUGGCUCUCUAUCUAGGGAGCAUGUGCACACUUGUCGUCUUUAUAUCUCCACCUGUGCACCUUUUGUAGACCUGGAUAACUUUCUGAGUCAGGUUUGAGGAUUGAUCUCUCCUUACAUUUCCAGGUCUAUGUUUCUUCAUAUACCCCCAAUGUAUGUUAUAGAAUGUAAUAAACGGGCCUUUUGUGCCUAUAAACCUAUACAACUUUCAGCAACGGAUCUCUUGGCUCUCGCAUCGAUGAAGAACGCAGCGAAAUGCGAUAAGUAAUGUGAAUUGCAGAAUUCAGUGAAUCAUCGAAUCUUUGAACGCACCUUGCGCUCCUUGGUAUUCCGAGGAGCAUGCCUGUUUGAGUGUCAUAUAUAUAUAUCAACCUCUUCAGCUUUUGCUUGUCGAGUGUUGGAUGUGGGGGAUCAGCUCCCCUGAAAUACAUUAGCGGAACAAUUUGCUGACCCGUUCAUUGGUGUGAUAACUAUCUACGCUAUUGACGUUAAGCAGUUCAGCUUCUAACAGUCCAUUGACUUGGACAAAUUUUUUUUCAUUAAUGUGACCUCAAAUCAGGUAGGACUACCCGCUGAACUUAAGCAUAUCAAUAAGCGGAGGAAAAGAAACUAACAAGGAUUCCCCUAGUAACUGCGAGUGAAGCGGGAAAAGCUCAAAUUUAAAAUCUGGCAGUCAUCUGGCUGUCCGAGUUGUAAUCUAGAGAAGCGUUAUCCGCGCUGGACCGUGUACAAGUCUCCUGGAAUGGAGCGUCAUAGAGGGUGAGAAUCCCGUCUUUGACACGGACUGCCAGGGCUUUGUGAUGCGCUCUCAAAGAGUCGAGUUGUUUGGGAAUGCAGCUCAAAAUGGGUGGUAAAUUCCAUCUAAAGCUAAAUAUUGGCGAGAGACCGAUAGCGAACAAGUACCGUGAGGGAAAGAUGAAAAGAACUUUGGAAAGAGAGUUAAACAGUACGUGAAAUUGCUGAAAGGGAAACGCUUGAAGUCAGUCGCGUUGGCCAGGGAUCAACCUUGCUUCUGCUUGGUGUACUUUCUGGUUGACGGGUCAGCAUCAAUUUCGACCAUUGGAAAAAAGUCAGGGGAAUGUGGCAUCUUCGGAUGUGUUAUAACCCUUGGUUGCAUACAAUGAUUGGGAUUGAGGAACUCAGCACGCCGCAAGGCCGGGUGUAAACCACGUACGUGCUUAGGAUGCUGGCAUAAUGGCUUUAAUCGACCCGUC
This 1232-nucleotide ribosomal RNA is filed under the name Thaxterogaster pugionipes. RNAcentral's name for it is "eukaryotic LSU rRNA". The stretch from base 564 to 1232 matches the Rfam family "Eukaryotic large subunit ribosomal RNA", at positions 1 to 653 of the family's 3401-position model. Lineage: Eukaryota; Fungi; Basidiomycota; Agaricomycetes; Agaricales; Cortinariaceae. The record is from RNAcentral.